UACAGAGGUCUCAAGCGUUGUUCGGAAUCAUUGGGCGUAAAGGGUGCGUAGGCGGCGCGGUAAGUCGGGUGUGAAAUCUCGGAGCUUAACUCCGAAACUGCAUUCGAUACUGCAGUGCUUGAGGACUGGAGAGGAGACUGGAAUUUACGGUGUAGCGGUGAAAUGCGUAGAUAUCGUAAGGAAGACCAGUGGCGAAGGCGGGUCUCUGGACAGUUCCUGACGCUGAGGCACGAAGGCCAGGGGAGCAAACGGG
RNAcentral lists this ribosomal RNA (253 nucleotides) under uncultured bacterium. Its description in RNAcentral is "partial 16S ribosomal RNA". It matches the Rfam family "Bacterial small subunit ribosomal RNA", at positions 524 to 776 of the family's 1533-position model. The record is from RNAcentral.